GCGGGGUGUGACAAUAUUAUUGAUUCACUUUUUUAAAAUAAGGGCGUUAAAGUUGGUUUGAGUUAAAGAGAUUCCUGCUUGGCACGGAAGGCUAGGGUUGACAGAAAAUCCUUCGGCGCGUGGGGAGUGCGGCGAGUCUGCAGAAAGGAAACAUCGAUGCUCCCGACUGAGCACCAAACAGUUUGCGAUGGAAAUUCGAAGGAUGGAAAUUUCAUAUGAAUAACGUAAAAAUAAAAUGACAAAAAAAACAUAUGUGAGCAGUUGCGGAAUUUCCCGUUUCCACACGAAGUACACGAACAGAACUCUCCGACCGCUGAGAAAGAUCCGGCAACACCGCAACACUCGAACAAUCGGGACGGUAGCCAUAGAAACGCUCGUUCCGUAUAUAUAUACAACAAAAGGGCGACCGAGCUCCGGUCUUCGUUGCAGAGUAGACCAUCAGAGUAGCCGCGACGCCUACGCGGAGGGACUCGCGGCGCCCCCCCCCCCCAAAGCCGGCCGAAGGUUAGCUCCGCCGAACGCGCGACGAAUGAAGGGACCGCAUGGCAAAAACGCGGCCCCGAUCGACCGACGGGGAGGGCGCAGAAACGAAUUUCCCAGAAACGUUCGAAGGGCACCAGCGCCUCCCCGGAUCGCCGGAUCACGAUACCCGACCUUAUCGGACGUCGGCACCGUAGGACCCGUCCGCCGACGGAACCACGAGCCCGCGGGACGAACGGGGAGGUACGAAGUGACCGUUACAAGGAAUCGACAGACGAAACGGUCCGAGGGGCACCACGCCCACCCCGGGAGUUCGGGGUCGAAAAUUCAGCGGGGACGGGACGCCGGCCGGCCGGGGGCACCCGCUGACCGAAACUCCGGGGCGCGGGCCGAACGUGACGGGAGCGGUGGCGGUUUUUCCGAAAACGGUCGCGGGGCACCAGCGCCCCUCCCGGGUCGCCGGAUCCGAAAUCCGACCUUAUCGGACGUCGGCACAGUAGGACCCGUCCGCAGACGGAACCCCGAGCCCGGGGGACGAACGGGGAGGUACGAAGUGACCGUUACAAGGAAUCGGCCGACGGAACGGUCCGAGGGGCACCGCGCCCCCCCGAUUCGCAAAAAAACGAAACGGCCGGAGGGACAAGGAGCCGAUAGCAGGGACGCGACCGCACGUCGAAGCGCGACCGGAAAGACGCGCGCCAGGCCGAGGGAAGGGCGAAAAACGGAACCACCCCCGGGGCCCGUAGCAACCCCCCUAGGGGUGGGAACGGGAAAACCCGCGGGGGGAACGGAGACCCGGCCGCGAGGGGUCCGCCGAACGAACAUCAAGGGCGCGGGACGCGCUGGGACGGCGUGGCGGGGACAGAUGUUCAGAGGGUCGCGGGGUAAAUCGUAUAACUUUAUAUAAGAGAUAAAUACUGUGGUGACUUGGUAAGCGGGAAGUUCCCACUGUCAAGUGAAAUUUGAAAGUUGUAACAAGAGAUCUAUUACAUUUCAUUCGAAGUCUAA
This 1488-nucleotide long non-coding RNA is filed under the name Bemisia tabaci. RNAcentral describes it as "lncRNA ENSSSA2NGG001312". Lineage: Eukaryota; Metazoa; Arthropoda; Insecta; Hemiptera; Aleyrodidae. The record is from RNAcentral.